Molecule: transfer RNA, 72 nt
Filed under: Patescibacteria group bacterium
Lineage: Bacteria
Description: tRNA-Arg
Rfam family: tRNA
About the family: Transfer RNA (tRNA) molecules are approximately 80 nucleotides in length.
Source: RNAcentral
GCUCCCGUAGUUCAAUGGAUAGAACUGCCGCGUCCUAAGCGGUUAAUGUCAGUUCGAUUCUGGCCGGGAGCA